UUGUUAUAUGUCAUUGUUUAUGUUAUAGUUUUAUACUGGCAUGCGUUAUGCGAACUGGACUAAAAGUUAUGAAAUUAAAGUAAACUAGAAUCUCUCACAUGCUGAGGCAAAAAGAUAUAUGAGGGAACCACAGCUGUAAGGGAUGUUGUGCCCCCAUUUUUUUUUCAGGAAAUGCAGUCUUUUCUGCUUCUAAUAUUUGAGUCUCAGUGCCUGCUGGACUCCAAGGCUUUAUUCUUACAAAUAAUUAAGAUUUGUAAUUAUCUUAUUGUAUGAUCAAUUCAUUUUAGAGGAUUCCAACUGGUAAAGUUGGUAAAAUUUGUUGUUUUGAUGCAAGAAACCUAGGUUUAUCCACCCUUAACUUAAUAAUUGGUUGGGCUUCCAUUUGUCCUAAUUCUCAAAGAGAGAGAAGAUCAAUUUGUUUUCAAGAAAAAACUUGUGGAUAACUUGUUUCAGUAAUAGAAUAAUUGAAAGACAUUUUAAAAAAUCUAAAAUAAAAGAUUUUGUUGUAAAAGAAAUAAUGAAGUACACUCUCAAUAAGGCUUUAGUGAUCCUAGGCAUCUUGUUGAAGAUAGAUAUCAAAAUAUCUUAGGUCAUGUUUUUGUUCAAUUCUCUAGUGUUAUAUCUUUGGGCUUAAGGUCAAGCAGCCAUAUCGAAAGGAGGGUAGAAGUUUAAAUAGCUUCCUGAAUUAUGAAAUAAGCCUUUUUUCUUGGCAAUUAAGCAAAUAAUUGAAAUUGGAAUUAAUGCAAGGGAUAUUAACUCUGAUGGGAAAUGUAAACAAAUAGAUAAAGAAACGGAUAAAGAAAGAUGACCAAUACUAAAGGGUUUGAGAGAGAGGGUUCAGGGGUUAUAAUUCAAAUAAGGAGGAAGAAGAAAUGAGAUUGUUGGGAUUAGAAGAGACAACUUAGCUGGCCUCGAACCCAAAAACAACAAGCCUAACCUGCCUGUUUGGUUGGAUUGGGUUGAGAGACUAGGAACUUUAGUUGGGAUUAGGCUCAAAAAUUCCAACUUGACUUCAAGUUGUUUUAUGUUAGGGUUGAGCUCAAACCCAUCCUGAAUUUGACUACAAAUCAACUUAAAUCCCAUUGGAUUAUAGACUUAUGUGUCACUGUUUAUGCCAUUCAUCCAUUUAUUUUUGUUGAAGUUUAAGAGAUCCACCCCUAUUCCUCUUUAUUAAAAUUUCAAGCCAACCAACAUUAACUUGACAAAGGUUUCCCAAGCCUUGCUGUGAUACCCCAACCUAGCUUAAACCCAACCGCACGAAGCAACAUAAGAUUUUGCAUGAAUCUCAAAGCACCAAAAAAAAAAGUAAAAAGGGUGGAAAAAGUCGUGCUGGACUUUUAUGGUGGAAGGACUUCCAAAGGAGUCUUCCUUCCUCCAUUGUCUUCAACUCCCUAUCACAUUGGAAGUCAGAUUUCUUCCGGCUUCCUCCCCCCUCUGGCCCUAUUUAAAAGGAAGAGAGCUUCCCUCUCUUUCCCAUCAAAAAUCGAGUCUCAAGCUGGUGAAAUUGUCAGACUUUUCUUUUCGAGGGCCUCCACCAUAUUCGUCGGAAAUCGCAGUCGAGCAUCACCGGAAAAGCUAGAUAACAGUUGGCAAUAGUUGAUCAACCCUCGUCUCUUUCUUAGUUGUUAGCUCAUGGAUUCCGACUGACAAAAAAAAAUCAUCGGAUUUUGUCGAAAAAGGGACUCAACUAAAUCCCCUGUUUUCUUGAUUUCUUGCAUGCGUUUCUUAAUUUUUCUAGCGACAGUCGUCACUGCCGACCAUCAGUCAAUGAUCCCUCAUCCUUGUCGCUAUAGCUUGCAUCCCGACCACUGCCACCAUCAAGAAGAAGUCUCCCCUAUUCCAAGAAAGAAGGGAACGGGAAGUUCCCUGUUCCACCAAGAGAAAAAGGGGAAAAAGAAAAAAAAAAAAAAAGAAAAGAAAAAAAAGGAGAAUAUGGCGAUGUGAUCUAUGAAUUGAAGAUUUUGAAAAAAAAAAUUAUGGAAUUAUGUGGAUUUAAUGGAGUACGCUUGAGGCAUUUGGUUGGGCAUAUAUCAACAACCGCCACAAUACAUGGGAACAAUUUUAUGUCUACUGGAUAUGCCCUUUCAUUGGUGCCAUUCUGGCUGCUUGGGUUUUCAGGACUCUCUUCCUGCAAAAGGUCAAGGCUAAAAGUGCAUGAGGUUAAAUAGAUGAAGCCGGACAGUUAGGUUUUGAUACUCUAGUGAAAUAAAACUGUUAGAGUAUCGUGGCUGAAGGUUAUACCGUAUCUCCGAUUUUCGUUUUUGUUGAACCGUCUUUAGUCUAUGUUUUUGUUGCAGUAAUAUCAAUAUGAAAUAAAAUUCAACAUUUGUAGUUA
This is a non-coding RNA of Elaeis guineensis (African oil palm), 2335 nucleotides long. The record is from RefSeq and is a predicted model, not a curated record. Lineage: Eukaryota; Viridiplantae; Streptophyta; Magnoliopsida; Arecales; Arecaceae.